AACGAACGCUGGCGGCAGGCCUAACACAUGCAAGUCGAACGAGAAGCGUGCCUUCGGGUGCGUGGAAAGUGGCAGACGGGUGAGUAACGCGUGGGAACGUACCCUUUGGUUCGGAACAACUCCGGGAAACUGGAGCUAAUACCGGAUGUGCCCUUCGGGGGAAAGAUUUAUCGCCAAGGGAUCGGCCCGCGUCGGAUUAGCUUGUUGGUGGGGUAACGGCCUACCAAGGCUAUGAUCCGUAGCUGGUCUGAGAGGAUGAUCAGCCACACUGGGACUGAGACACGGCCCAGACUCCUACGGGAGGCAGCAGUGGGGAAUAUUGGACAAUGGGCGCAAGCCUGAUCCAGCCAUGCCGCGUGAGUGAUGAAGGCCUUAGGGUUGUAAAGCUCUUUCGCCAGGGACGAUAAUGACGGUACCUGGAUAAGAAGCCCCGGCUAACUUCGUG
Molecule: ribosomal RNA, 445 nt
Filed under: uncultured bacterium
Lineage: Bacteria
Description: bacterial SSU rRNA
Rfam family: Bacterial small subunit ribosomal RNA
Source: RNAcentral